CCUGCCAUACGCGAGCAAAACCCCUAGGGGAGACCCCCGCAGCUCCUGUCCCGAUCCUCUUCGUUGUAGCAGGCGCUGUUGGGCGAAAACGGAUCUCGCCGUCGAGCUCGCAGUUCGCCGUCGUUCGCCGGAUGAUUUCGUCGCCGUUAGCGCAACAGAGGGAGAGCAACAAGCCGUCCCGCCUUCACCGGAGCAGCCACUUUCGAGUCGUUGCCGUCGCCAACAGAGGUCGCCUCGCCAUGGUUGAGCACCAUCACCACCUCCGCCGCUCACCGCCGCACCCAUCCGUCGCUUCACCUUCGCCGGAGACCCGCCGGAGAAGCUCAGCCGCCGCCGCCCGAGACCGCCGCCGCCGUUUCCUCUGCCCGAUUGUCUGGAGUGCGUUGCGAGCUAUUGUCAGGAGUGUGACCUUUUGAACCAGAACUAAG
This is a long non-coding RNA of Triticum aestivum (bread wheat), 428 nucleotides long. RefSeq lists it as uncharacterized. The transcript is spliced from 3 exons. The record is from RefSeq and is a predicted model, not a curated record. Lineage: Eukaryota; Viridiplantae; Streptophyta; Magnoliopsida; Poales; Poaceae.